Oreochromis aureus is the source of this 1607-nucleotide long non-coding RNA. RefSeq lists it as uncharacterized. The record is from RefSeq and is a predicted model, not a curated record. The transcript has 6 exons. NCBI's taxonomy places the organism in Eukaryota, Metazoa, Chordata, Actinopteri, Cichliformes, Cichlidae.
ACUCAGUUACUUCAAGUUACUUGUUACUUUCAAAGUAACUAGUUCCUAGGGAAAGUAACUUUGGUUUUACUCAGAAUUCUCUUAUUAAUGUUUUGCUUCCCUAACUGGAUACCAGCAAGGAUGCCAGUCUUCUAGCUUGCUUACAUGUUAGCACUAUCCUGCCACAAGUGCACUGUGCCACCUAAUGGCCUGAACCUAAAAUGGCAGUGUAAAAAAUAUAGUGCAAAAAUGGUUCAACAUAAAUACAGUGAGGUUUGUCCAUUCUUUGUAAACUUAACUGAAAACAGUUGAACUGCACCAACUGGAGAACUCAUGUUCAGUAAUAACGGGCAAACUUAAAAGUAUUUUCAGCCUCGCAAAGAGAAAUACAAUAAAUAAUAAGUAUUUUCAGCCUCAUAAAUAGUCAAUAUUUAACCAAAAUAAUAUUUCCUCCAGUCAGGCCAUGUAGAUAAAUAAAAUAUAAUGGUAGAUUAAGUGCUUCAGUGGUCUAAGAUUCUAGCCUACGUCACAGAGUCACGUGCGCUUUUUACGGCCAACACGGAAACUGCAGUCGUGGUGCUUUCGAUUGUACUCGGAACUCAGGAAUUCUGCCUUCCAAGUAGGAAGAUGUAGGUAACUCCAGACUGCAGAUGAGCUGCAUGUGUUUAAUAGUAAUUUGUUUUUGUAGAGGGCUAGCAAAACAACCGUUUUCGAGGGCGUCGCCAUAUUGGAAUCCCGACUUGUCUGACGAGGCUAACCGGAGCGCCUUUUACUCGAGUGUGAGUCCUGCUUCCCACUCUCACCAUGGACACAAGAAGUCCUCGUGGGACAGAACCAGUGUGAAAACUACAGAAGGUGAUCUGAGCAGGAGGAGGCCAGGAAAGAUUACAUGUGUCCUUAAAACUGCCCAGCAGGCUGUUUUGAUGAUAGACGACUCACCUUGAUUGAGAUAGAAGUUGCUGAUGGUGACCAGGUGACCUGCAGCGAGGAAGAGGAGGAAAGUUUGUCCAGAAGCUUUUCCUGAGGAGUCAGCGUCUGUCUCUGCACUGGACGACAGAGACAGAAAGGUCACGACCUACUUCGGUAUCACAUAGAGCUUCUGCAGAGCAUGGCAAGACUCCACGCUCUGCUCUAAGGUCAAAGUUCAUGGUUAUAGAAGCGCUGAAGAAGGUGCUUAACGUUUAAAAUGAAGAGAACAACAGCGGCUUGUACUGUGUGCAGCUCAGCUUACUGAGGACCUCGGCGAGGACCGAGGACGUCGUGCUGCUGUCUGAGACGGAAACCGAAAUGAAAGCGACGCCCGACCUGAAACACAAAAACACAGCCACGAGUCGCCUCCAUCCUUCAGCGAGUUCCUGUUGUCCGGGCCGCCGUUGCGGUUCAGGAUGUCGUCGCUGUGCAGACGCUGCAGGCCGCCGAUUUCGUGCAGCUCGAAGUCCUGAGGGUCGUCUGGGAGGUAGAAGGCCCUCAGCGCCGCCUCCUGAAGGACAACACAGGUUUUUGGGAGGAAGCAGAGCCCUCACCACCACUUCCUCAUUCUUCGUGAUUGAGACCAGUCGGAAGAAACCGCGCUUCACUGCAUCGUCACCAUCAAACACCUUGAGAAACUGUUUACCUGUAGGUCACAG